GAUGAACGCUGGCGGCGUGCCUAAUACAUGCAAGUCGAGCGAACGGACGAGAAGCUUGCUUCUCUGAUGUUAGCGGCGGACGGGUGAGUAACACGUGGAUAACCUACCUAUAAGACUGGGAUAACUUCGUGAAACCGUAGCUAAUACCGGAUAAUAUUUUGAACCGCAUGGUUCAAAAGUGAAAGACGGUCUUGCUGUCACUUAUAGAUGUCUCCGCGCUGCAUUAGCUAGUUGGUAAGGUAACGGCUUACCAAGGCCACGAUGCAUAGCCGACCGGAGAGGGUGAUCGGCCACACUGGAACUGGGACACGGUCCAGACUCCUACGGGAGGCAGCAGAAGGGAAUCUUCCGCAAUGGGCGAAAGCCUGACGGAGCAGCGCCGCGUGAGUGAUGAAGGUCUUCGGAUCGUAAAACUCUGUUAUUAGGGAAGAACAUAUGUGUAAGUAACUGUGCACAUCUUGACGGUACCUAAUCAGAGAGCCACGGCUAACUUCGUG
This 497-nucleotide ribosomal RNA is filed under the name uncultured bacterium. RNAcentral describes it as "partial 16S ribosomal RNA". It matches the Rfam family "Bacterial small subunit ribosomal RNA", at positions 28 to 507 of the family's 1533-position model. The record is from RNAcentral.